AAAAAAAAGGAAGUGACCACUUUUCUUGCACAGACUAAAAAACCCAGGCUGGCAUUUUUAGGUUGGGAAACCACUGAAUCGGUCAAGUCUGACAGUCAAGUGAGUUAAAAAACAAAGUAUGGAGCAUGAAUUUCCCUAUACCAUCUGCUGUGCUAAUUAACAGUCCUGCCUCAGUUCCAGAAGUCAAUGUAUUUUGGAUGAGAUAGAUUUUCUGACAAGGUGUGUUUGUUUUCUUAUGCCAGAAGGCAGAGAAGUCAAUCCUAGUCAUUUUUCUCCUUGGAUACUAAAUUCACAUAGGUCAGCUGGCUUCCUGUAGAGCCCUGAGCUUCAUCAUUUGUGACUCCAGCUUCCACGGGACUCUGAGCCUCUCACUUGUUCUCCCCUAAUAAACAAUGACCCAGACCUAACUGUGUCUUUUAAAAAUCUCAGAUCCUCCAGGAACAUCUUUAUUGCUUCCUCAUCAGUAAUUUUGCAGCAAAUU
Molecule: long non-coding RNA, 481 nt
Filed under: Bos taurus (domestic cattle)
Lineage: Eukaryota; Metazoa; Chordata; Mammalia; Artiodactyla; Bovidae
Description: long non-coding RNA NONBTAT005731
Source: RNAcentral